GAUGAACGCUAGCGGCAGGCUUAAUACAUGCAAGUCGAGGGGCAGCAUGGGUAGCAAUACCUGAUGGCGACCGGCAAACGGGUGCGGAACACGUACGCAACCUUCCCAUAACUGGUGAAUAGCCCUCCGAAAGGAGGAUUAAUACACCGUAACAUAAUGAAGAGGCAUCUCUUUAUUAUUAUAGGCUUCGGCUGGUUUUGGAUGGGCGUGCGCCUGAUUAGGUAGUUGGCGGGGUAACGGCCCACCAAGCCUACGAUCAGUAACUGGUGUGAGAGCACGACCAGUCACACGGGCACUGAGACACGGGCCCGACUCCUACGGGAGGCAGCAGUAAGGAAUAUUGGUCAAUGGACGAAAGUCUGAACCAGCCAUGCCGCGUGAAGGAUGAAGGCCCUCUGGGUUGUAAACUGCUUUUGUACAGAACGAAAAAGACUCUGGUUAAUACCUGGAGUCCAUGACGGUACUGUAAGAAUAAGCACCGGCUAACUACGUGCCAGCAG
Molecule: ribosomal RNA, 500 nt
Filed under: uncultured bacterium
Lineage: Bacteria
Description: bacterial SSU rRNA
Rfam family: Bacterial small subunit ribosomal RNA
Source: RNAcentral